RNAcentral lists this ribosomal RNA (513 nucleotides) under uncultured bacterium. Its description in RNAcentral is "partial 16S ribosomal RNA". It matches the Rfam family "Bacterial small subunit ribosomal RNA", at positions 28 to 507 of the family's 1533-position model. The record is from RNAcentral.
GACGAACGCUGGCGGCGUGCUUAACACAUGCAAGUCGAACGAAAAGAGGGAAAGAGCUUGCUCUUUCCGGAAUUGAGUGGCAAACGGGUGAGUAACACGUAAACAACCUGCCUUCAGGAUGGGGACAACAGACGGAAACGACUGCUAAUACCGAAUAAGUUCCAAGAGCCGCAUGGCCCAUGGAAGAAAAGGUGGCCUCUACCUGUAAGCUAUCGCCUGAAGAGGGGUUUGCGUCUGAUUAGCUGGUUGGAGGGGUAACGGCCCACCAAGGCGACGAUCAGUAGCCGGUCUGAGAGGAUGAACGGCCACACUGGAACUGAGACACGGUCCAGACUCCUACGGGAGGCAGCAGUGGGGUAUCUUCCGCAAUGGGCGAAAGCCUGACGGAGCAACGCCGCGUGAGUGAUGACGGCCUUCGGGUUGUAAAACUCUGUGAUCCGGGACGAAAAGGCAGAGUGCGAAGAACAAACUGCAUUGACGGUACCGGAAAAGCAAGCCACGGCUAACUACGUG